This 590-nucleotide long non-coding RNA is filed under the name Heterocephalus glaber (naked mole-rat). RNAcentral's name for it is "lncRNA (ENSHGLG00000043752.1)". Lineage: Eukaryota; Metazoa; Chordata; Mammalia; Rodentia; Bathyergidae. The record is from RNAcentral.
CCCGGAGCCGCCUUCCCGUAGCCGGAGCCCGGCCAAGGCGGGCAGGUGGGGCUGAGGCGGGCUGAUGUGGCUGCGGCGGGCAGACAGGGUCAAUGCUAUGAUGUUCAGGCUGGCCUUGAACUUCCUAUGUAGUCCAGGCUGGCUUGGUGCUCUGGGUGAUCCUCAUGCCUCAGCCUCCUGAGUUCUGGGAUUACAGCCUUGUCCCACUACAUCCGGCCAGAAGGAUCAAACUCGGGUCCUUGUGCUUGCGCAGCAGGCAGCGAAACCACUGAGCUAAAUCCCCGGCCCUAAGCGCAUUCCCCUACAGCACCGCAUCUGACUGGCUAAGCUGGACACCUACUGAGUCCUGUUGCCAUCUCUCCUUUGACUCACAGGCUACUGGUCACCGGGUCAGGUGGAUUCUGCUUGGAAAUACACAUACUGGACCCAUCCCUGCCCUCCAUCCCCAUCAACACCAGGUCCUAGAAGUCACUCUGCUGGGCUGCAGCCUCCUGGGUGCUCUGUCUCUAGCGCAACUUGUAAACACACACACAACAUGAACGAGUCACACAGUGGACCCUCAUCAGGCCACAAGAUGACCGACAGAAGCU